UGCAGAGUUUCACAGUGACAGCA
Molecule: non-coding RNA, 23 nt
Filed under: Mus musculus (house mouse)
Lineage: Eukaryota; Metazoa; Chordata; Mammalia; Rodentia; Muridae
Source: RNAcentral